AUGCCUUAAACUGAUGAGUAAGGAAAAUAACGACGCGGGGUGACGCCCGUGUCCUCGUUUACAUUACGAGAUGAAUUUUUGAAGGGGGAGAGGUCUGCCUGCUGAGGUGACUCGCCUACUUUGCGAGAUGCCUCGUGGGACUGGGACCUUCCCU
Molecule: small nuclear RNA, 154 nt
Filed under: Amphiprion ocellaris (clown anemonefish)
Lineage: Eukaryota; Metazoa; Chordata; Actinopteri; Pomacentridae
Description: U12 minor spliceosomal RNA
Rfam family: U12 minor spliceosomal RNA
About the family: Although the U12 sequence is very divergent from that of U2, the two are functionally analogous.
Source: Rfam by way of RNAcentral